Non-coding RNA from Schistosoma mansoni, 70 nucleotides. Lineage: Eukaryota; Metazoa; Platyhelminthes; Trematoda; Strigeidida; Schistosomatidae. The record is from Rfam.
UAGACAACUCCGCCUGUAGCUCUUAUAGAGUGACUGCCGGUCCCAAGCCCGGGUAAAGGAGGAGGGUUAG